CCACUUGUUUCCACGCGGUUCAGAAGGCUCCAAGGGGGGGGGGGGCUCGAGGAUUUGGAGACGCCGCCGCCCGACUCCUCUCCAAGACUCCGCCGUCCAGCGCCUCCCCAAGACGCCGCAGCUCGACGCCUCGACGCCGGCGUACCUCCUCCGGCGUACUGGAUUUCUCUCCGGUGGUUCUCAGGCAACCAGAGAAGCAAGAUUAAACAAUUUGGACAAACUAUUGGCCAUUCAAAAACUGGAUGAUCAUGACAUCAUCAAGAGCAAUUCAUAUGUAUGACAACAUCAUUCUCAGUGGUCUGUAAAAAUAUAACUAAUUGUGAGCUAUUGCACAAGUACCCUGUGUUGCAUUAUGUUUGUUGCAAAAUUAUGGUGUUGCUGUGAAAGAUCACGGAUGAGAUAUUAUUGAUUCCAAGUCAUGUUGUUUUUGAGAAAUCAUGUAUUUCCUGUGAUAUAAUUGAUAUUGUUGUGAUGAGAUAUUGAUCUAAAGUCAGGCAAAAGUUAUGUUAUUGCUAUGAAGAAUUGCUG
This 528-nucleotide ribosomal RNA is filed under the name Triticum aestivum (bread wheat). RNAcentral describes it as "partial small subunit ribosomal RNA". The record is from RNAcentral. Lineage: Eukaryota; Viridiplantae; Streptophyta; Magnoliopsida; Poales; Poaceae.